This 155-nucleotide small RNA is filed under the name Papio anubis (olive baboon). RNAcentral's name for it is "Metazoan signal recognition particle RNA (ENSPANG00000041231.1)". It matches the Rfam family "Metazoan signal recognition particle RNA", at positions 97 to 251 of the family's 299-position model. Rfam says of the family: The signal recognition particle (SRP) is a universally conserved ribonucleoprotein. It is involved in the co-translational targeting of proteins to membranes. The record is from Rfam by way of RNAcentral. Lineage: Eukaryota; Metazoa; Chordata; Mammalia; Primates; Cercopithecidae.
GCCAACCGGGUGUCUGCACUAAGUUCGGCAUCAAUAUGAUGACCUCCUGGGAGCAGGGGGCCACCAGGUUGCCUAAGGAUGAGUGAACUGGCCCAGAUCAGAAAGGGAGCAGGUCAGAACUCCCGCACCAACUGGUAGUGUGACUGUGCCUGGGC